GAACUUAAGCAUAUCAAUAAGCGGAGGAAAAGAAACUAACAAGGAUUCCCCUAGUAACUGCGAGUGAAGCGGGAAAAGCUCAAAUUUAAAAUCUGGCGUGCCUCUGGUCGUCCGAGUUGUAGUUUAGAGAAGCGUUUUCUGUGUUGGACCGUGUAUAAGUCUCUUGGAACAGGGCGUCAUAGAGGGUGAGAAUCCCGUCUUUGACACGGACUACCAAUGCUUUGUGAUACGCUCUCAAAGAGUCGAGUUGUUUGGGAAUGCAGCUCAAAAUGGGUGGUAAAUUCCAUCUAAAGCUAAAUAUAGGCGAGAGACCGAUAGCGAACAAGUACCGUGAGGGAAAGAUGAAAAGCACUUUGGAAAGAGAGUUAAACAGUACGUGAAAUUGCUGAAGGGGAAACGCUUGAAGUCAGUCACGUCUGCCAGGACUCAGCCUUGCUUCUGCUUGGUGUACUUUCUGGUUGGAUGGGCCAACAUCGAUUUCGACCGUUGGAGAAAGGCUUUGGGAAUGUGGCACCUUCGGGUGUGUUAUAGCCCUUUGUCGUAUACAAUGGUUGGGAUCGAGGACUGCAGCAUGCCUUCAUGGCCGGGGUUCGCCCACGUACAUGCUUAGGAUGUUGGCAUAAUGGCUUUAAGCGACCCGUCUUGAAACACGGACCAAGGAGUCUAACAUGCCUGCGAGUGUUUGGGUGGAAAACCCAUGCGCGUAAUGAAAGUGAUAGCUGAGAUCCUCUCAUCAGGAGCAUCAGCGCCUGGACUUGAUCUACGGAGACGGUUCUACGGUAGAGCAUGUAUGUUGGGACCCGAAA
RNAcentral lists this ribosomal RNA (806 nucleotides) under uncultured fungus. RNAcentral's name for it is "eukaryotic LSU rRNA". It matches the Rfam family "Eukaryotic large subunit ribosomal RNA", at positions 30 to 821 of the family's 3401-position model. Lineage: Eukaryota; Fungi. The record is from RNAcentral.